UUUUAAUUUCUUUUUCAUUUCAUUUACUUUUGUUAGUAUUCCAGGAAAUUGAGGGUGAAAACGAUUUUUAAAUUCGUUAGUAUUCCAGGAAAGUUGAUUGAUUUUGCUUUUUUAAGAAAUUUGCUUGAUUGGGAAUUUUAAUUGCUGAAACUUGUAGACGAUGAUGAUAUAAGCUCAAGUAGAGUCACACUGGGAGUGUAAAUAAAUAAGCUAUCUAUUCAAUAUAAGUUUUUCAAAUACUUUACUGGGUUUG
RNAcentral lists this unclassified non-coding RNA (253 nucleotides) under Hevea brasiliensis (rubber tree). Lineage: Eukaryota; Viridiplantae; Streptophyta; Magnoliopsida; Malpighiales; Euphorbiaceae. The record is from RNAcentral.